This 21-nucleotide non-coding RNA is filed under the name Caenorhabditis elegans. The record is from RNAcentral. Lineage: Eukaryota; Metazoa; Nematoda; Chromadorea; Rhabditida; Rhabditidae.
UUUUCAAAAUUUUCUGAAAUA